UUAAAAUGUAAUUAAUUUACUUGAGUAGUAAUAGUUAUGUUCUUGAAACUUAAAAAAUUUGGCGGUAUUUUAGUCUAUUCAGAGGAACCUGUUCUAUAAUCGAUAAUCCACGAUGGACCUUACUUAAUUUUGUUUUUCAGUUUAUAUACCGCCGUUAUUAGAAUAUUUUAUAAGAAUUAAUAAUUUUCAAUAAUUUUGAUAAAAAUUAAUGUCAGGUCAAGGUGUAGCUUAUAAUUAAGACAGUAAUGGGUUACAAUAAAUUUAUUUAUGUGAAUAUAGUGUUGAAAUAAUAUUAUUGAAGAUGGAUUUGAUAGUAAAAUUUUAUAGAUUGUAAGUUUGAUUUUAGCUCUAAA
RNAcentral lists this ribosomal RNA (353 nucleotides) under Empididae sp. JMA-2000. Its description in RNAcentral is "partial 12S ribosomal RNA". Lineage: Eukaryota; Metazoa; Arthropoda; Insecta; Diptera; Empididae. The record is from RNAcentral.